RNAcentral lists this non-coding RNA (198 nucleotides) under Nitrospira moscoviensis. Lineage: Bacteria; Pseudomonadati; Nitrospirota; Nitrospiria; Nitrospirales; Nitrospiraceae. The record is from RNAcentral.
CAACUGAGUGAUCUCUCGGAUGCCCGUAAGGGCGUAACAGGGAAGUCCGGUGAGAAACCGGCGCGGUCCCGCCACUGUAAGUGGGAAGCGACCCCGUUCAAGCCACUCGACGACGAGUCGGGGAAGGCUGGGGAAGCGUUGAGGGUCUGACCUUCUGAACCCACGAGCCAGGAGACCUAUCCGAGGUGACAUGGCACU